CACAAAUGUUCUGCGCGCGGCCUCCAGGGAAAACCUGACACUGAGCUAGAAAUGUCUAAAUUGUUUUAUUUCGUUCCUUUAAUGUUAAUGAGAAUGGCAUUGAAUAUUUUGUCGAUUGCUUUUACCGUUAUACUGCAGUUAUAAGUAUCAACCGCUGCCCUUUUCAGAUUUGGAAUCUGAAAAUGAAGUCAUGAAUCUGAAAGUGAAAUAGUUUGCUCUGUUCGUUAUAAAUAUGCUUCGGUCGGUAGCGAUCAAAUCCAUUGGACAUCGACACAGGUUUCCGAGUGUCCUGAAAGAAAAAAAAAUUGAAUCAACAACGAAUGGUUGAUAAGGUUUUUUUAUAUUAUCAGUCAAUAUGAGUGGACUUUAAUUAAGGGCAUAGGACAGGACUUUAAUUCGCGACAUAAUAGGUAUGUGGAUCGAACAUGUGAUACAGUGGAACUGCGAUACAGUUGAACUGCAAUAAAAAACCAAACAUAUUCCUUGUGAUACAGUGGAACUGCAAUAAAAAACCGAACAUUGAAAACAUCUUUGAAAACUAAAUUUCAUGUGUAAUCAAAUUAUGCUGUACCUAUUAUGCUAAUAUAAUUUUUCAAAAGAAACACGGGCCUAACUUGAAUUUACCACACUAAAUUCUGAACACUGACUUUAGAUAACGUAAAAUGUAAUUUAAAAACUUAGGUAUAAUCUGACCCCGACACCUCCCAAUGACAAAGUCUUCACCACUUCAGUGCCCAUGUUUUGGGUUUGCAAGCUGUUAUAAUAUUUAGGUUUUUGUUUCAUAUUUUAGCUACGUCUUUAGUAAUUAUUUGAUGUAUACAAUUAUCUAGCUAUAAAGUAGAUAGAUUCUCACAAAAACAGUAUCUCUUUUGGCAAAGCAUUUUGCAUGGUUGUAGAAAUUUUCAACUCUGUGAUGUUACUCUGAGUGUAGAUCCACACCGGGCAAGGUGAAACGUUUGCCUUACCACGGUGGGAAUCGACUCGCGACCUUUGGGAUACUAGUCCAAUGCUCUGCCAACUGAGCUACGAGGUCAAGUCGGUUCGAAUUGGUGAUAUUUCGGAACUGAGUCUAGUUCCUUCGACAUCAGUGUAUUCUGUAUGAUACUUUUUGUGUGUGUUGGUGUUAUGUACUCAGGUGAAUAAUGAUGUUUAUGAAUGGCUUGCAAUGAUGUUCGCUUCUUCAUGGUGUUGUCGCUUGUCAGUGAUAGACCCUAUGAUUAAACUGUUCUUCAAUUUCUAGGCUCCGUUAGAGAUCAAAUUGGACGAUGGCAACAAAAAGAGAUAUAGCUGAAGAUUGCAAAUUUGGACCAUAUACUGCACCUGAUUGUGGUAUGCAUUUAUAUAGAUAUGUUAAAUUUCACUUUGUUUUGUUCUCUAUUUUG
Paramuricea clavata is the source of this 1382-nucleotide non-coding RNA. Lineage: Eukaryota; Metazoa; Cnidaria; Anthozoa; Malacalcyonacea; Plexauridae. The record is from the annotation of a GenBank genome assembly.